GCAAGUCGAGCGGAAACGAUUCUAGCUUGCUAGAAGGCGUCGAGCGGCGGACGGGUGAGUAACGCGUAGGAACUUACCCAGUAGUUGGGGAUAGCCCGGAGAAAUCCGGACUAAUACCGAAUAAUCCCUAAGGAGGAAAGUGGGCUUCGGCUCACGCUACUAGAUGGGCCUGCGUCUGAUUAGCUAGUUGGUUAGGUAAAGGCUGACCAAGGCGACGAUCUUUAGCUGGUCUGAGAGGAUGAUC
Molecule: ribosomal RNA, 244 nt
Filed under: uncultured bacterium
Lineage: Bacteria
Description: partial 16S ribosomal RNA
Rfam family: Bacterial small subunit ribosomal RNA
Source: RNAcentral